UUAAGCGACUAAGCGUACACGGUGGAUGCCCUGGCAGUCAGAGGCGAUGAAGGACGUGCUAAUCUGCGAAAAGCGUCGGUAAGGUGAUAUGAACCGUUAUAACCGGCGAUGUCCGAAUGGGGAAACCCAGUGCAAUUCGUUGCACUAUCGUUAACUGAAUACAUAGGUUAACGAGGCGAACCGGGGGAACUGAAACAUCUAAGUACCCCGAGGAAAAGAAAUCAACCGAGAUUCCCCAGUAGCGGCGAGCGAACGGGGCAGCCCAGAGUCUGAAUCAGCUUGUGUGUUAGUGGAACGGUCUGGAAAGUCCGACGGUACAGGGUGAUAGUCCCGUACACCAAAAUGCACAGGUUGUGAACUCGAAGAGUAGGGCGGGACACGUGGUAUCCUGUCUGAAUAUGGGGGGACCAUCCUCCAAGGCUAAAUACUCCUGACUGACCGAUAGUGAACCAGUACCGUGAGGGAAAGGCGAAAAGAACCCCGGCGAGGGGAGUGAAAAAGAACCUGAAACCGUGUACGUACAAGCAGUGGGAGCACCUUCGGGUGUGACUGCGUACCUUUUGUAUAAUGGGUCAGCGACUUAUAUUCUGUAGCAAGGUUAACCGUAUAGGGGAGCCGCAGGGAAACCGAGUCUUAACUGGGCGUUAAGUUGCAGGGUAUAGACCCGAAACCCGGUGAUCUAGCCAUGGGCAGGUUGAAGGUUGGGUAACACUAACUGGAGGACCGAACCGACUAAUGUUGAAAAAUUAGCGGAUGACUUGUGGCUGGGGGUGAAAGGCCAAUCAAACCGGGAGAUAGCUGGUUCUCCCCGAAAGCUAUUUAGGUAGCGCCUCGUGAACUCAUCUUCGGGGGUAGAGCACUGUUUCGGCUAGGGGGUCAUCCCGACUUACCAACCCGAUGCAAACUACGAAUACCGAAGAAUGUUAUCACGGGAGACACACGGCGGUGCUAACGUCCGUCGUGAAGAGGGAAACAACCCAGACCGCCAGCUAAGGUCCCAAAGUCAUGGUUAAGUGGGAAACGAUGUGGGAAGGCACAGACAGCCAGGAUGUUGGCUUAGAAGCAGCCAUCAUUUAAAGAAAGCGUAAUAGCUCACUGGUCGAGGCGGCCUGCGCGGAAGAUGUAACGGGCUAAACCAUGCACCGAAGCUGCGGCAGCGACACUAUGUGUUGUUGGGUAGGGGCGUUCUGUAAGCCUGCGAAGGUGUGCUGUGAGGCAUGCUGGAGGUAUCAGAAGUGCGAAUGCUGACAUAAGUAACGAUAAAGCGGGUGAAAAGCCCGCUCGCCGGAAGACCAAGGGUUCCUGUCCAACGUUAAUCGGGGCAGGGUGAGUCGACCCCUAAGGCGAGGCCGAAAGGCGUAGUCGAUAGGAAACAGGUUAAUAUUCCUGUACUUGGUGUUACUGCGAAGGGGGGACGGAGAAGGCUAUGUUAGCCGGGCGACGGUUGUCCCGGUUUAAGCAUGUAGGCUGAUUGUCCAGGCAAAUCCGGAUAAUCAAGGCUGAGGUGUGAUGACGAGGCACUACGGUGCUGAAGUAACAAAUGCCCUGCUUCCAGGAAAAGCCUCUAAGCAUCAGGUAACAUUAAAUCGUACCCCAAACCGACACAGGUGGUCAGGUAGAGAAUACCAAGGCGCUUGAGAGAACUCGGGUGAAGGAACUAGGCAAAAUGGUGCCGUAACUUCGGGAGAAGGCACGCUGGUGUGUAGGUGAAGUCCCUGCGGAUGGAGCUGAGACCAGUCGAAGAUACCAGCUGGCUGCAACUGUUUAUUAAAAACACAGCACUGUGCAAACACGAAAGUGGACGUAUACGGUGUGACGCCUGCCCGGUGCCGGAAGGUUAAUUGAUGGGGUUAUCCGUAAGGAGAAGCUCUUGAUCGAAGCCCCGGUAAACGGCGGCCGUAACUAUAACGGUCCUAAGGUAGCGAAAUUCCUUGUCGGGUAAGUUCCGACCUGCACGAAUGGCGUAAUGAUGGCGCUGUCUCCACCCGAGACUCAGUGAAAUUGAACUCGCUGUGAAGAUGCAGUGUACCCGCGGCAAGACGGAAAGACCCCGUGAACCUUUACUAUAGCUUGACACUGAACAUUGAGCCUUGAUGUAGGAUAGGUGGGAGGCUUUGAAGCGUGGACGCCAGUCUGCGUGGAGCCAACCUUGAAAUACCACCCUUUAAUGUUUGAUGUUCUAACGUUGGCCCCUGACCGGGGUUGCGGACAGUGUCUGGUGGGUAGUUUGACUGGGGCGGUCUCCUCCCAAAGCGUAACGGAGGAGCACGAAGGUUAGCUAAUCCUGGUCGGACAUCAGGAGGUUAGUGCAAUGGCAUAAGCUAGCUUGACUGCGAGCGUGACGGCGCGAGCAGGUGCGAAAGCAGGUCAUAGUGAUCCGGUGGUUCUGAAUGGAAGGGCCAUCGCUCAACGGAUAAAAGGUACUCCGGGGAUAACAGGCUGAUACCGCCCAAGAGUUCAUAUCGACGGCGGUGUUUGGCACCUCGAUGUCGGCUCAUCACAUCCUGGGGCUGAAGUAGGUCCCAAGGGUAUGGCUGUUCGCCAUUUAAAGUGGUACGCGAGCUGGGUUUAGAACGUCGUGAGACAGUUCGGUCCCUAUCGCCGUGGGCGCUGGAGAAUUGAGGGGGCUCUGUACGAGAGGACCGGAGUGGACGCAUCACUGGUGUUCGGGUUGUCAUGCCAAUGGCACUGCCCGGUAGCUAAAUGCGGAAGAGAUAAGUGCUGAAAGCAUCUAAGCACGAAACUUGCCCCGAGAUGAGUUCUCCCUGAGACUUUAAGUCUCCUGAAGGAACGUUGAAGACGACGACGUUGAUAGGCCGGGUGUGUAAGCGCAGCGAUGCGUUGAGCUAACCGGUACUAAUGAACCGUGAGGCUUAACCU
This 2880-nucleotide ribosomal RNA is filed under the name Klebsiella pneumoniae. Its description in RNAcentral is "bacterial LSU rRNA". It matches the Rfam family "Bacterial large subunit ribosomal RNA". Lineage: Bacteria; Pseudomonadati; Pseudomonadota; Gammaproteobacteria; Enterobacterales; Enterobacteriaceae. The record is from RNAcentral.